Molecule: ribosomal RNA, 235 nt
Filed under: uncultured bacterium
Lineage: Bacteria
Description: partial 16S ribosomal RNA
Rfam family: Bacterial small subunit ribosomal RNA
Source: RNAcentral
UGUCCGGAUUCAUUGGGCGUAAAGCGCGUGUAGGCGGCCAGGUAGGUCUGCUGUGAAAACUCGAGGCUCAACCUCGAGACGUCGGCGGAAACCAUCUGGCUAGAGUCCGGAAGAGGAGAGUGGAAUUCCUGGUGUAGCGGUGAAAUGCGCAGAUAUCAGGAAGAACCCCCGUGGCGAAGGCGGCUCUCUGGGACGGUACUGACGCUGAGACGCGAAAGCGUGGGGAGCGAACAGG